AAAUGCGCCCCAAACGUUCGAUCGAGGGAGACAGAGGUGAGGCGGACUUAGGGUGAGGCGGUGAAUGCGUGAUAUCUAAGAACACCAGGGGCGAAAGCGCUCACUGGGUCUCUCUGACGCUGAGGCACGAAAGCUAGGGGAGCGAACGGGAUUAGAUACCCCGGUAGUCCUAGCCGUAAACGAUGAGCACUGGAUCGAAGGGUCCUCCAUAGCUUUUGUCGUAGCGAAAGUGUUAAGUGCUCCGCUGGGGAGUAUGGUCGCAAGGGCUGAAACUCAAAAGAAUUGACGGGGGCUCACACAAGCGGUGGAGGAUGUGGCUCAAUUCGAGGCUACGCGAAGAACCUUAUCCUAGUCUUGACAUGCACGGAUUAACUCCCUGAAAGGGGAGCCACGCCCGCAAGGGUGGAACGUGCACAGGUGCUGCAUGGCUGUCGUCAGCUCGUGUCGUGAGAUGUCGGGUUAAGUCCCUUAACGAGCGAAACCCUUGUCGCUAGUUGCCAGCGAGUCAUGUCGGGGACUCUAGCGAGACUGCCGGUGUUAAACCGGAGGAAGGCGGGGAUGACGUCAAGUCCUCAUGGCCUUUAUGACUAGGGCUGCACACGUCCUACAAUGCUGCGUACAAAGCGACGCGAACCCGCGAGGGCAAGCAAAUCGCAAAAAACGCAGCCCAGUUCGGAUUGCAGGCUGCAACUCGC
This 695-nucleotide ribosomal RNA is filed under the name uncultured bacterium. Its description in RNAcentral is "bacterial SSU rRNA". It matches the Rfam family "Bacterial small subunit ribosomal RNA", at positions 619 to 1315 of the family's 1533-position model. The record is from RNAcentral.